GGAGUUAGCCGGUGCUUCUUCUGCGAGUAACGUCACAGCUAGCAGGUAUUAACUACUAACCUUUCCUCCUCGCUGAAAGUGCUUUACAACCCGAAGGCCUUCUUCACACACGCGGCAUGGCUGCAUCAGGGUUUCCCCCAUUGUGCAAUAUUCCCCACUGCUGCCUCCCGUAGGAGUCUGGGCCGUGUCUCAGUCCCAGUGUGGCUGAUCAUCCUCUCAGACCAGCUAGGGAUCGUUGCCUAGGUGAGCCAUUACCUCACCUACUAGCUAAUCCCACCUGGGCUUAUCCAUCAGCGCAAGGACCGAAGUUCCCCUGCUUUCCCCCGUAGGGCGUAUGCGGUAUUAGCAGUCGUUUCCAACUGUUAUCCCCCACAAAUGGGCAAAUUCCCAGGCAUUACUCACCCGUCCGCCGCUCGUCAUCUUCAAAGCAAGCUUUUGAAAUGUUACCGCUCGACUUGCAUGUGUUAGGCCUGCCGCCAGCGUUCAAUCUGAGCCAUAAUCAAACUCUGA
Molecule: ribosomal RNA, 510 nt
Filed under: uncultured bacterium
Lineage: Bacteria
Description: partial 16S ribosomal RNA
Source: RNAcentral